GCUGGGCGCGGUGGCACACGCCUGUCAUCCCAGCAGCUCAGGAGGCUGAGGCAGGAGGGUCAUGAGUUUACAGCCAGCCUCAGCAAAAGUGAGGCACUAAGCAACUCAGUGAGACCCUGUCUCUA
Molecule: small RNA, 125 nt
Filed under: Marmota monax (woodchuck)
Lineage: Eukaryota; Metazoa; Chordata; Mammalia; Rodentia; Sciuridae
Source: RNAcentral